CCACGGCCAGGUGCUCAAGCAGGCUCAGCCUUGUAGAGACCCAAGAAUAUCCCAUUCUCACCUUCUGCUGCCUCUGUGGCUGUCCUGACUACGACUCCAGCUUCUGAGGGAGUCCACACUUGCAGAGCAUCAGUGCUCUGUCAUGCAGAGGGGGCCACAGGUCUCACAGAGCAAGUGCCUAUGAGAGUGGACACCCUGCAGCACUGGACAGAAGUGUGCUGUGGCUCAGGGUAGUCCUGGACCAUCAGCAGCUACAGUCCCAGAGGAGCCUCCUGCUGUACACUUGUCUUCCUUGGUGCAAAGAUCCCAGACUUUGGGGUUAA
This 323-nucleotide long non-coding RNA is filed under the name Fukomys damarensis (Damara mole-rat). RNAcentral describes it as "lncRNA (ENSFDAG00000025465.1)". Lineage: Eukaryota; Metazoa; Chordata; Mammalia; Rodentia; Bathyergidae. The record is from RNAcentral.